RNAcentral lists this ribosomal RNA (434 nucleotides) under Sphingomonas sp. RNAcentral's name for it is "bacterial SSU rRNA". It matches the Rfam family "Bacterial small subunit ribosomal RNA", at positions 29 to 508 of the family's 1533-position model. The record is from RNAcentral. Lineage: Bacteria; Pseudomonadati; Pseudomonadota; Alphaproteobacteria; Sphingomonadales; Sphingomonadaceae.
AACGAACGCUGGCGGGAUGCCUAACACAUGCAAGUCGAACGAGCCCUUCGGGGUUAGUGGCGCACGGGUGCGUAACGCGUGGGAAUCUGCCCUUGGGUUCGGAAUAACUCGCCGAAAGGCGUGCUAAUACCGGAUGAUGUCGAAAGACCAAAGAUUUAUCGCCCAAGGAUGAGCCCGCGUAAGAUUAGGUAGUUGGUGAGGUAAAGGCUCACCAAGCCGACGAUCUUUAGCUGGUCUGAGAGGAUGAUCAGCCACACUGGGACUGAGACACGGCCCAGACUCCUACGGGAGGCAGCAGUGGGGAAUAUUGGACAAUGGGCGAAAGCCUGAUCCAGCAAUGCCGCGUGAGUGAUGAAGGCCUUAGGGUUGUAAAGCUCUUUUACCCGGGAUGAUAAUGACAGUACCGGGAGAAUAAGCUCCGGCUAACUCCGUGC